RNAcentral lists this ribosomal RNA (234 nucleotides) under uncultured bacterium. Its description in RNAcentral is "partial 16S ribosomal RNA". It matches the Rfam family "Bacterial small subunit ribosomal RNA", at positions 118 to 347 of the family's 1533-position model. The record is from RNAcentral.
UGAGGAAUCUGUCCAACGGCGGGGGAUAGCCGGCCCAACGGCCGGGUAAUACCGCGUACGACCUUCGAGGGGCAUCCCUUGAUGGUGAAAGCCGCAAGGCGCCGAUGGAGAACUUCGCGGCCUAUCAGCUAGUUGGUGAGGUCAUGGCUCACCAAGGCGACGACGGGUAGCUGGUCUGAGAGGAUGGCCAGCCACAUUGGGACUGAGACACGGCCCAGACUCCUACGGGAGCAG